UUGUUAUUGUACAAGCACACCAGAAGUAGGUUCUUCAUAUUGAACAUUGACCACUUUGAUAGGUCAUUAGUAAGCCAUGUGUUAAGAUAGUAAGUUAAAACAUUGUAGUGUGCUAGUGACAGCUAGUCGCUCAUAUCCUAUAUGGAAUUUAUUGCCCCCAUAAUUAAAUAUUGUUUUAGACCACAGCACACUAUGUAACCAAUUCUAUAAAUUAUAUUGAGUUGUGAUUGGAUUUGAG
RNAcentral lists this long non-coding RNA (238 nucleotides) under Mytilus galloprovincialis (Mediterranean mussel). Lineage: Eukaryota; Metazoa; Mollusca; Bivalvia; Mytilida; Mytilidae. The record is from RNAcentral.